UGUAAAUCUGAUUGGAGAACAACCAGAAACUUUUUAAGAACCAUUUUGGAGAAAUUUUUAGAGUCAGAGUGAAGAUUUAAUUGCUUAAACUCUUGACAGCAGUGAAGAUGGAUUCAGCGUCAGCAGAAGAUCUUACAUGUCCUGUGUGUAAAGAAGUCUUCAAGGAUCUUUUUGUUUUAACAUGUAAACACAAAUACUGUACAGAGUGUCUUCGAUCAUUCUGGAGAGACACAGAAACAAAGUGGUGUCCUUUGUGCAGUAGAAGAUCCUCACAAGGGCUUCCUCCACAUAUGUGCAUUUUACACAGAGAGAAACCCCAGCUCUACUGUGUGGAGGACCAACAGUUCGUGUGUUUAACAUGUGUUAACUCUGAAGAACACACCAAUCACACAUUCAAAUCCAUCAGAGGAGCCAUUUCAUCAUAUAAGGAGACAAAAGAGAGAAGUUCAUCAGAGUCAGAGGAGAUCUGCAGUUUACAUGAUAAGAAACUCCAGCUCUUCUGUCAGGAAGAUGAACAGCCUGUGUGUGUAGAGUGUGUUUAUGCUGAAACACACACCAAUCACACAUUUAAAUCUGCCAGUGAAGCUGCUUCAACAUUUGAGGCAAGAAAGAGAGAAGUUUCACCACGGUCUGAGGAGAUCUGCAGUUUACACAAUCUGAAACUCACACUUUACUGUGAGAACAAACAACUUGUGUGUUUAGAGUGUGUUACCUCUGAAAAACACACCAAUCACACAGUCAAACACAUUAGUGAAGUUGCUUCAUCACAUAAGAUAGAAACUCAAAACAGAAAUAAAGACAUUAGAAGAGAAUCGUAAACACAAAGAAAACAUUAAAGGAGAGUUUGAGGAAUCAGCUAAACACAUCAAGUUUAAGGUCGACUACACACAGAAACAGAUUGAACAUCAGUUUGAGAUGCUUCACCAGAAACUCGAAGAGGAAAAACAAGCAGCAAUCGCUGCACUGAGGGAGGAAGAGGAGGAGAUAAUGAAGAAGACAGUGGAGGAGAUCGAGAGUCAGAUCUCAACACUUACAGAUGCAAUCAAAGACACAGAGGAGAUGCUGAACGCCAGUGAUGACUGCUUACUGAAGGUCUGAUUCUAGAUGAAGUCCAGAUCUCUCAGCCGUAUCCAGAACUGCCAUCUGCAGCUUCAGUAAAUGUGUCACGGUACUUGGGGAACCUGAUGUCCAACAUCAAGAAAAAGAUGGAGGAGACGAUUAAUAACAUUUUCCAGUACA
Non-coding RNA from Danio rerio (zebrafish), 1239 nucleotides. The record is from Ensembl. NCBI's taxonomy places the organism in Eukaryota, Metazoa, Chordata, Actinopteri, Cypriniformes, Danionidae.